Molecule: unclassified non-coding RNA, 329 nt
Filed under: soil metagenome
Description: partial contains 5.8S ribosomal RNA, internal transcribed spacer 2, and large subunit ribosomal RNA
Rfam family: 5.8S ribosomal RNA (bases 1-120)
Source: RNAcentral
GAUGAAGAACGCAGCGAAAUGCGAUAAGUAAUGUGAAUUGCAGAAUUCAGUGAAUCAUCGAAUCUUUGAACGCACAUUGCGCCCGCCAGUAUUCUGGCGGGCAUGCCUGUUCGAGCGUCAUUUCACCACUCAAGCCUGGCUUGGUGUUGGGCGACGUCCCCUUUGGGGACGCGCCUCGAAACGCUCGGCGGCGUGGCACCGGCUUUAAGCGUAGCAGAAUCUUUCGCUUUGGAAGUCGGGGCCCCGUCUGCCGGAAGACCUACUCGCAAGGUUGACCUCGGAUCAGGCAGGGAUACCCGCUGAACUUAAGCAUAUCAAUAAGCGGAGGA